This 1463-nucleotide long non-coding RNA is filed under the name Fragaria vesca (wild strawberry). RNAcentral's name for it is "long non-coding RNA (FVES_LNC000824)". Lineage: Eukaryota; Viridiplantae; Streptophyta; Magnoliopsida; Rosales; Rosaceae. The record is from RNAcentral.
CCCUCACACCAGCAGCAAAACCCUGGUGGUUCUGCUGCGCCAGCGGAUAAUGCUAGCUACAAUUAUGGCCAGCCGCCUAUUUCAGGCUAUAAUCAGCAAGGACAAGGUUAUUCUCAAGAUGGCUAUGGUGGAUAUCAGGCACCACCUCAAUCUGGGUAUGGCCAGCCACCAGCAUAUGAUCAACAUGGUUAUCCUGCAGCCAACUAUGGUAAUGUGAGCAACCCAGCUCCAGAUACUUCCUCUUAUGGAUCUCAGGGGGAAUCAGCCCAAGCACCUCCUGUGCAGCCUGCUCCAGGGGGCCAGCAAGCAUACACUGCCAAUCAACAGCCUAGCCCAAACCCUGCAAGUUACCCGCCCCAAGUGCCUUCUCAGCCAGGUUAUGGAAUGCCCCCAACUUCUCAAACUGGUUAUGGGACUCAACCACCUGCUCAAUCUGCAUAUGGGCCUGGAUAUGGAGCACCACCUCAAGCACAAAAGCCUCCUGCUCAGUCACCCACCACUCCCGGUAGCUAUGGUCAACCACCAGCUGUGCAUCCAGGUUAUCCCCAUUCUCAGCCUCCACCUUCCGGAUAUGCUCAGCCUGAUUCUGGUGCACGUGUCCCACCAUCCAGUUAUGGUUCUACAGCAGCUCAGGCAGGCUAUGGUGGCCCCCCAGCGUAUGGUGCACCGCCGUCUGGUCAGCCAGGUUAUGGGCAGGCACCACCCUACAAUACAUCUUAUGGGGCUGCAGGAUACACACAGCCUCCUGCAUAUUCUGCUGAAGGAGCGAAUGGAAACACUCGUGGUGGGGCAUAUGAUGCUGCUGGUGCUGGUGCUCCUCCUGCUUCACAGACUGCUCAGCCAAGUGGAGUUGCCAAGACUUCCCCACAGAGUUAAAAGUGGGUUUUAAUAUUUGGUUGUGUUGUAUUUCUGUAGCAAGGCUAGUUAGGUUAGUGUUUUUAUGGAACUCUGUAUUUGGAUUUGUACUGUUUCAGUUAUUUGUUAUUGCUAGAUCUUAAAUUUCUUGUUUCCCAUGCUUUUUAUUUCCUCCUGAAUCCUAUCUUUGUUCUAUUUGAAUAAUUUGGUUUAUGGUGGACAUCGACAUGGUUACGUGUUGCUAGUUGUUUUUGGUGUUUCUCGAAUGAAUAUGUGUUCGAUGAGAAUGUUUCCUUUGCUAUCAAAAUGCAUCUCUCUUCAUUGUUCUUGCAUGUACAGUCACAAAUCGUCUUAUUGAGCAGUCUCCUUUGAAUCUUAUAUAAACGUUCUAGAGUAUCUGCAGAACACAGGCAGUGUUCAUUUCCUAGUCAAUUUCUCUUCCAUAAUCCUUUCGUUCUCUGUAACAAUGCUCUUCCUGCCUUCUCUUUCAAUCAAAACCUCUCUCAUUCCUUCAUUCCUUCCGGCCGAAUGUGCUACUUUUGCCUUUCGGGGCUGAACUGCAUUAGUCGCUUCCACAAAUCCUGGGUACUUCUGAAUAGGCCUCGGUG